This 578-nucleotide long non-coding RNA is filed under the name Mytilus galloprovincialis (Mediterranean mussel). Lineage: Eukaryota; Metazoa; Mollusca; Bivalvia; Mytilida; Mytilidae. The record is from RNAcentral.
GAAAUUCCAUAGCAUAGUUUCAGUGUCCUUCAAGAGGGAACGACAAAUCAGUUUUUAAUUAAUGUAAACUCAGUAAAAGUGAUACUAUCUGAAGUGUUAUUACAAUUAUCUGAUAAAACAUUAUCUAUUGUCUUUUCAAAUUGAAAUUUCUUCAUAAUUAAAGUUAUAAAAGGGGCAAAUAGCACUGGCAAAAAGAAGAGUGAAGAAUUUAUUGGAAAAGCAAUGUGUGAUUAUUGCGACUGCGUUACUUCUAAACAAAAACGUAACAUGAGCGGGACCUCAAAAUUUUUGUAAACUAAUGUAUCAGAAGAUGAAAAAUAUCCAAAUAUAUCUAUAGGUCUGUUUUUUGUUCAUUAAUAUAUGACAAGGUAUAUAUUUUUGAUAAACAAAAUAUAUGAAAAGGGUGGGGUACUUGAUGUCUCAGUUGCUCACCCCUACCCAUAAAAGUUUGAAGUGGCCCCCCGGGAUAUCAAAGUGAAGUUUAGAGUCAAUAUCGGAAAUUAGUUUUAAGUCUUUUGGCAUUAAACUUAUUCUCCUCUAUUAGAAACUGAUGUAUAUAAAUUAUUACUGCUUAAAAA